AUUGAACGCUGGCGGCAUGCCUUACACAUGCAAGUCGAACGGCAGCACGGGUGCUUGCACCUGGUGGCGAGUGGCGAACGGGUGAGUAAUACAUCGGAACAUGUCCUGUAGUGGGGGAUAGCCCGGCGAAAGCCGGAUUAAUACCGCCUACGAUCUACGGAUGAAAGCGGGGGACCUUCGUGCCUCGCGCUAUAGGGUUGGCCGAUGGCUGAUUAGCUAGUUGGUGGGGUAAAGGCCUACCAAGGCGACGAUCAGUAGCUGGUCUGAGAGGACGACCAGCCACACUGGGACUGAGACACGGCCCAGACUCCUACGGGAGGCAGCAGUGGGGAAUUUUGGACAAUGGGCGAAAGCCUGAUCCAGCAAUGCCGCGUGUGUGAAGAAGGCCUUCGGGUUGUAAAGCACUUUUGUCCGGAAAGAAAUCCUUGGCUCUAAUACAGUCGGGGGAUGACGGUACCGGAAGAAUAAGCACCGGCUAACUACGUG
This 486-nucleotide ribosomal RNA is filed under the name uncultured bacterium. RNAcentral's name for it is "partial 16S ribosomal RNA". It matches the Rfam family "Bacterial small subunit ribosomal RNA", at positions 30 to 507 of the family's 1533-position model. The record is from RNAcentral.